This 403-nucleotide ribosomal RNA is filed under the name uncultured soil bacterium. RNAcentral describes it as "bacterial SSU rRNA". It matches the Rfam family "Bacterial small subunit ribosomal RNA", at positions 26 to 424 of the family's 1533-position model. The record is from RNAcentral.
AGAGUGAACGCUGGCGGCAGGCCUAAUACAUGCAAGUCGAACGGCAGCACGGCAGAGCUUGCUCUGUGGGUGGCGAGUGGCGGACGGGUGAGGAAUACAUGGGAAUCUGCCCAGUCGUGGGGGAUAACGUAGGGAAACUUACGCUAAUACCGCAUGCGCCCUUCGGGGGAAAGCCGGGGACCUUCGGGCCUGGCGCGAUUGGAUGAGCCCAUGUCGGAUUAGCUAGUUGGCGGGGUAACGCCCACAAGGCGACGAUCCGUAGCUGGUCUGAGAGGAUGAUCAGCCACACUGGAACUGAGACACGGUCCAGACUCCACGGGAGCAGCAGUAGGGAUAUGGACAUGGGCACAAGCCUAGACUCCGAGCCAUCGCCGCGGUGAGUAGAAGGAAGGCCGUUCGGGUU